AAUUAUACCGUGAAACUGCGAAUGGCUCAUUAAAUCAGUUAUCGUUUAUUUGAUUAUACCUUACUACUUGGAUAACCGUGGUAAUUCUAGAGCUAAUACAUGCUGAAAAUCGCGACUUCGGAAGCGAUGUGUUUAUUAGAUAAAAAACCAAUGCCCUUCGGGGCUACUUGGUGAUUCAUGAUAAAUUUACGGAUCGCAUAGCCUUGCGCUGGCGACGGUUCAUUCAAAUUUCUGCCCUAUCAACUUUCGAUGGUAAGGUAUUGGCUUACCAUGGUUUCGACGGGUAACGGGGAAUUAGGGUUCGAUUCCGGAGAGGGAGCCUGAGAAACGGCUACCACAUCCAAGGAAGGCAGCAGGCGCGCAAAUUACACAAUGGCUAUCCGCCGAUGUAGUGACAAUAAAUACUGAUACAGGGCUCUUUUGGGUCUUGUAAUUGGAAUGAGUACAAUUUAAACCUCUUAACGAGGAACAAUUGGAGGGCAAGUCUGGUGCCAGCAGCCGCGGUAAUUCCAGCUCCAAUAGCGUAUAUUAAAGUUGUUGCAGUUAAAAAGCUCGUCGUUGAAACUUGGGCCUGGCUGGCGGGUCCGCCUCACCGCGUGCACUCGUCCGGCCGGGCCUUCCUUCUGAAGAACCUCAUGCCCUUCACUGGGCGUGUUGGGGAAUCAGGACUUUUACUUUGAAAAAAUUAGAGUGUUCAAAGCAGGCCUUUGCUCGAAUACGUUAGCAUGGAAUAAUAAAAUAGGACAGCGUUUCUAUUUUGUUGGUUUCUAGGAACGCCGUAAUGAUUAAUAAGGGACUGUUGGGGGCAUUAGUAUUCAGUAGUCAGAGGUGAAAUUCUUGGAUUUACUGAAGACUAACUACUGCGAAAAGCAUUUGCCAAAGAUGUUUUCAUUAAUCAGUGAACGAAAAGUUAGGGGAUCGAAGAACGAUCAGAUACCGUCGUAGUCUUAACCCGUAAAACAAUGGCCGACUAGGGAUCGGGCGAUGUUCUUUUUCUGACUCGCUCGGCACCUUACGAAAAAAUCAAAGUUUUUGGGGUCUG
This 1042-nucleotide ribosomal RNA is filed under the name Comoclathris flammulae. Its description in RNAcentral is "SSU rRNA". It matches the Rfam family "Eukaryotic small subunit ribosomal RNA", at positions 72 to 1116 of the family's 1831-position model. Lineage: Eukaryota; Fungi; Ascomycota; Dothideomycetes; Pleosporales; Pleosporaceae. The record is from RNAcentral.